Molecule: ribosomal RNA, 253 nt
Filed under: uncultured bacterium
Lineage: Bacteria
Description: partial 16S ribosomal RNA
Rfam family: Bacterial small subunit ribosomal RNA
Source: RNAcentral
UACGUAGGCAGCAAGCGUUGUUCGGAAUUACUGGGCGUAAAGAGUGUGUAGGCGGUGCUCUAAGUUCGGUGUGAAAUCUCCCGGCUUAACUGGGAGGGUGCGCCGGAAACUGGAGUGCUUGAGCGCGGGAGAGGAAAGCGGAAUUCCUGGUGUAGCGGUGGAAUGCGCAGAUAUCAGGAAGAACACCGGUGGCGAAGGCGGCUCUCUGGGCCUUACCUGACGCUGAGGAGCGAAAGCGUGGGUAGCGAACAGG